UCUCCGUAGGUGAACCUGCGGAGGGAUCAUUACUGAGUGAGGGCUCCGGCCCGACCUCCAACCCCAUGUGAACCGAAACCUGUUGCUUCGGGGGCGACCCCGCCUUUCGGGCAGUGCGCCCCCGGAGGAUAUCAAAACGCUGCAUCUUUGCGUCGGAGUCUUAAUGAAUUUAAACAAAACUUUUAACAACUGAUCUCUUGGUUCUGGCAUCGAUGAAGAACGCAGC
RNAcentral lists this unclassified non-coding RNA (226 nucleotides) under uncultured fungus. RNAcentral's name for it is "sequence contains ITS1, 5.8S rRNA gene". The stretch from base 178 to 226 matches the Rfam family "5.8S ribosomal RNA", at positions 1 to 49 of the family's 154-position model. Lineage: Eukaryota; Fungi. The record is from RNAcentral.